This 465-nucleotide ribosomal RNA is filed under the name Vreelandella stevensii. RNAcentral describes it as "partial 16S ribosomal RNA". It matches the Rfam family "Bacterial small subunit ribosomal RNA", at positions 338 to 795 of the family's 1533-position model. Lineage: Bacteria; Pseudomonadati; Pseudomonadota; Gammaproteobacteria; Oceanospirillales; Halomonadaceae. The record is from RNAcentral.
CCUACGGGGGGCAGCAGUGGGGAAUAUUGGACAAUGGGGGCAACCCUGAUCCAGCCAUGCCGCGUGUGUGAAGAAGGCCCUCGGGUUGUAAAGCACUUUCAGUGAGGAAGAACGCCUGGUGGUUAAUACCCAUCAGGAAAGACAUCACUCACAGAAGAAGCACCGGCUAACUCCGUGCCAGCAGCCGCGGUAAUACGGAGGGUGCGAGCGUUAAUCGGAAUUACUGGGCGUAAAGCGCGCGUAGGUGGCUUGAUAAGCCGGUUGUGAAAGCCCCGGGCUCAACCUGGGAACGGCAUCCGGAACUGUCAAGCUAGAGUGAAGGAGAGGAAGGUAGAAUUCCCGGUGUAGCGGUGAAAUGCGUAGAGAUCGGGAGGAAUACCAGUGGCGAAGGCGGCCUUCUGGACUGACACUGACACUGAGGUGCGAAAGCGUGGGUAGCAAACAGGAUUAGAUACCCUGGUAGUC